Molecule: ribosomal RNA, 49 nt
Filed under: Phytophthora citrophthora
Lineage: Eukaryota; Oomycota; Peronosporomycetes; Peronosporales; Peronosporaceae
Description: partial 28S ribosomal RNA
Source: RNAcentral
UGGACCUGAUAUCAGGCAAGAUUACCCGCUGAACUUAAGCAUAUCAUAA